GGGAGCAGGGGAUCCCAACGGCUUGCGCUGCCUUUGCGCAGCAGCCGGCGGGCGGCCACGUCGCGGCCUGGCUGGGGUAGGAGAGGGCGGUCCCCAGUGCAGUUGGGUGAACUACCGUUGCACACUGGAGUUUCUGGUGUCUUUGCUUGGAACUGACCUAGCUCGUGGCAGGGGGAACUCGGCUAGCGGCCCCACAGCCCCUGCUGACUCAAAACAACUGAGUUGUAAGACGUUCAUCGCCGUGUUAUCCUUGAGUAAAGAAGCGGGCUUUUGCCAUGUUGUCCAGGCUGGUCUCUACUCCUGGGCUCAAGCAGUCCUCCUGCCUCAGUCUCCCAAAGUGCUGGAAUUACAGGGGUGAGUUGCUGCGUCUGGUGUUGGUGACUUUCUAGAGAUUACUUUUUGGUUUACAUCAUUUUCCUUGUGACUAUUUUUACUUUUUUGGGGGGCGGGGGGACAGUCUUACUCUUUUUAGUUUACAUCAUUUUCCUUGUGACUAUUCUAUUUUUACUUUUUUAGGGGGCGGGGGGACAUGAGUCUCACUCAUGUUGGUCAGGCUGGUCUCAAACUCCUGACCUCAGUUGAUCCACGCCCUUCGGCCUCCCAAAGUGCCGGGAUUACAGGCGUGAGCCACUUUGCCCGGCCUGUAUUUUUACGUUUUAAUAAAUCCCCGUAUUUUUGUUAAAGGCUGGGUAACCUGACUCCUCCCCUCAUUUCUACUGCAAAAUAGGAGUACACUGGGGCCUCCCAGUGGAGCUGUUCUCUGCUGUUUUAAAUUACUUUCUACUCCUCCCUUUCUAACGUCCACUCCUGGACUCAUUUGUUAGAUCAAUAUAUACUGGGACUGUUGUGUUUUCUUUGAGUGUACUAGAUCUCUUUCCAGAAGAGCUUCCCUUGAUCCAGAUCUCCCUAAUUGGGAAUGAUGAUUUCACAGACUAGAGUCUCCGAUGCUGGUCAUGAUGUCAAAACUAAGUUCUGACUCAUUUAGGGAACUGGAUACUUGGGUCUCCAGAAGGGCCAAUGGGAGGGCCAUAAUUCUGUUUAUUUUCAAAUUGUCUUGUUUUCACCUUGUUAGAAUGAACUCUGGAAGCCCAGCCAGGGACAAUGCACCUUCACAGAGAUUCUGCACUAAUCUGAGUGAAGGUCUAAGGUUUGGAAUCUCCCCCUCAUGGAGAGAAGCUUUGUAUGGCUGUCAUGCUUAGACAGUGAUUCCUGCAACUUGACCUUCAGGCUGGGAGAGGUGGAGAGCCAUGCCUGUUCUCCUUCCUUGCUAUGGAAUUUGCUGACACAAUAUCUUCCGCCUGGUGCUGGGCAUAUCCUAAGAACUUACAACUUUCCUGUAUUAUCCUGUGUGAGCAGCUGUCACCUUAUUGGGGGAAAAAUGCCUGAAAAUUAGGGGGCACUUCAAGUAGAUAGCUUCUAUUUCCUAUAUUUGUCUUAUAUACAAGUAUUUGCUUUUAUCAAAAUAAUUCCAAUAAAGCAUUUUAAAGUAAAGAA
Molecule: long non-coding RNA, 1494 nt
Filed under: Homo sapiens (human)
Lineage: Eukaryota; Metazoa; Chordata; Mammalia; Primates; Hominidae
Description: HSALNT0104609
Rfam family: Small nucleolar RNA SNORD52 (bases 913-979)
Source: RNAcentral